AUUGAACGCUGGCGGCAUGCCUUACACAUGCAAGUCGAACGGUAACGCGGGGGCAACCCUGGCGACGAGUGGCGAACGGGUGAGUAAUACAUCGGAACAUAUCCAGUAGCGGGGGAUAACCUAUCGAAAGAUGGACUAAUACCGCAUACGAUCUACGGAUGAAAGCAGGGGACCGCAAGGCCUUGCACUAUUGGAGUGGCCGAUGUCGGAUUAGCUAGUUGGUGGGGUAAAAGCCUACCAAGGCGACGAUCCGUACCGGGUCUGAGAGGACGAUCAGCCACACUGGACCUGAGACACGGCCCAGACUCCUACGGGCGGCAGAAGUGGGGAAUUUUGGACAAUGGGCGCAAGCCUGAUCCAGCCAGGCCGCGUGAGUGAAGAAGGCCUUCGGGUUGUAAAGCUCUUUCGGUGAAGACGAAACGGUUAGCGCUAAUAACGCUGACUAAUGACGGCACUCACAGAAGAAGCACCGGCUAACUACGUGCCAGCCGCCGCGGUAA
This 500-nucleotide ribosomal RNA is filed under the name uncultured bacterium. RNAcentral's name for it is "partial 16S ribosomal RNA". It matches the Rfam family "Bacterial small subunit ribosomal RNA", at positions 29 to 523 of the family's 1533-position model. The record is from RNAcentral.